AACAAACGUUGGCGGCAAGCUUAACACAUGCAAGUUGAACGAAUUAAGGUUGGUUUACCAAUUUUGAUUAGUGGCAGACGGGUGAGUAAUGCGUAGGAAUCUACCUAGUAGUAUGGAAUAGUUAUUAGAAAUGAUAGGUAAUACCAUAUAAUACCCUGAGGGGGAAAGUUUUUUUCGCUAUUAGAUGAGCCUACGUUAGAUUAGCUAGUUGGUAAGGUAAUAGCUUACCAAGGCUAUGAUCUAUAGCUGGUCUGAGAGGAUGAUCAGCCACACUGGGACUGAGAUACGGCCCAGACUCCUACGGGAGGCAGCAGUGAGGGAAUAUUGGACAAUGGGCGCAAGCCUGAUCCAGCUAUGCCGCGUGAAUGAAGAAGGCCUUAGGGUUGUAAAAUUCUUUCAGUGGAGAAGAAAAUGACGGUAUUCACAUAAGAAGUCCCGGCUAACUCCGUGCCAGCCGCCGCGGUAAU
RNAcentral lists this ribosomal RNA (467 nucleotides) under uncultured bacterium. RNAcentral's name for it is "bacterial SSU rRNA". It matches the Rfam family "Bacterial small subunit ribosomal RNA", at positions 29 to 524 of the family's 1533-position model. The record is from RNAcentral.